Molecule: transfer RNA, 68 nt
Filed under: Pseudunio marocanus
Lineage: Eukaryota; Metazoa; Mollusca; Bivalvia; Unionida; Margaritiferidae
Description: tRNA-Leu
Source: RNAcentral
CGCAAGUUAGUAUACUUAAAUACUUUUGGCUUAGGAUCAAAAAAAAAGAAGACAACCCUUACUUGCCA